CAGGACCUGUGGUUCACAAUCAAAAAGAACAUAACAGAAAAAAUUUGAAUUCUGAUGCUUUAUUUCCCGCUACACAAAGCAGAAUGAUGGCAAGCUCAGGUGACUUCAGGAAGAGGUUACCCCUAGAUAUCAGAAAACACACUGAAUAGGGCUUCUUACAUUAAAUUCUGUUGCCACGGAAGUCAAAGACAGACUUAAUGCUACCUUCAAGGGAGCCAGAAAGUCAGUAUUUGUCUGGUGCACUGCAGACAAGUGGGAAGUAAAUCAGAGUCACAUACACAAACACAAAUGUUGGUGUGUGGUAAGCAAUGGUCCUGGUGUGCAAGUUGGC
Molecule: long non-coding RNA, 331 nt
Organism: Vidua macroura (Pin-tailed whydah)
Lineage: Eukaryota; Metazoa; Chordata; Aves; Passeriformes; Viduidae
Exons: 4
Source: RefSeq, a predicted model, not a curated record